GCACAGUUACUUGGCUGGAAAUUCGAAUUUAGGCCAGCAGGAGCCGCAGCAGUAGCACGCGCACCCACGUCUAUUACCAAAAAUUAGUAAUACGUACUGACGCCAUGAGGAAACGUCAGCUCGAGUAGAUGAUGCUAGAUUCGUUCGGAUAACGAAGUUAUGGCAAGAAAAUCCUGGCUGGAGUUAAAUGGCAAGUGGUCAUCAUCAGAGAAUAGCAUCAUUUGCAACCCAUUCCAGGUAUUCCUCAUCCUGGAAGUCGCUCUAGUCGUACUCCUGGUUAGUCUUGGUGCGAUCUUUUCUUGGACAGGCAAUGCCCAUGGGCUAAUCUUUGUCAUACCGGGGGUGAUCCUGUUUGUGAUGGUCGUGUUAGUAUACUUCUCAACGAUGCGAGAGACAUGGGAUCGUGAGGGUAACUACAAAUUCAUCAAAAUUCAACCCCAAGAAGCCGCUAAGGGAGGUGUCAGUUGCAUUGACAUACAGAUCAACUAGUGGCCAGCAUAGAGCGACUGAUGGCGCAGCGCCUCCGGGCAAAGAGUGCUAGUAAUUCCAAUAACUGUUCAAUAAUUCAAUAAAUUUAUUCAGAUUUAUGAAUAAUAUUUUA
Varroa destructor (honeybee mite) is the source of this 601-nucleotide long non-coding RNA. NCBI's taxonomy places the organism in Eukaryota, Metazoa, Arthropoda, Arachnida, Mesostigmata, Varroidae. The record is from RefSeq and is a predicted model, not a curated record.